AACAGAGGAUGCAAGCGUUAUCCGGAAUUAUUGGGCGUAAAGUGUCUGUAGGUGGCUUUUCAAGUCCGUCGUCAAAUCCCAGGGCUCAACCCUGGACAGGCGGUGGAAACUAGCAAGCUAGAGUACGGUAGAGGCAGAGGGAAGUUCCGGGGGAGCGGUGAAAUGCGUUGAGAUCGGGAAGCACACCAAAAGGCGAAAGCGCUCUGCUGGGCCGUCACUGACACUGAGAGACGAAAGCGAGGGGAGCGAAUGGG
RNAcentral lists this ribosomal RNA (254 nucleotides) under uncultured bacterium. RNAcentral describes it as "partial 16S ribosomal RNA". It matches the Rfam family "Bacterial small subunit ribosomal RNA", at positions 524 to 776 of the family's 1533-position model. The record is from RNAcentral.